GAUGAACGCUGGCGGCGUGCCUAAUACAUGCAAGUCGAGCGAACAGACGCGGAGCUUGCUCCUCUGACGUUAGCGGCGGACGGGAGAGUAACACGUGGAUAACCUACCUAUAAGACUGGGAUAACUUCGGGAAACCGGAGCUAAUACCGGAUAAUAUAUUGAACCGCGGGGUUCGAUAGUGAAAGACGGUUGUUCUGUCACUUAUAGAUGGAUCCGCGCCGCAUUAGCUAGUUGGUAAGGUAACGGCUUACCAAGGCAACGAUGCGUAGCCGACCUGAGAGAGUGAUCGGCCACACUGGAACUGAGACACGGUCCAGACUCCUACGGGAGGCAGCAGUAGGGAAUCGUCCGCAGUGGGCGAAAGCCUGACGGAGCAACGCCGCGUGAGUGAUGAAGGUCUUCGGAUCGUAAAACUCUGUUAUGAGGGAAGAACAAAUGUGUAAGUAACUAUGCACGUCUUGACGGUACCUAAUCAGAAAGCCACGGCUAACUACGUG
RNAcentral lists this ribosomal RNA (497 nucleotides) under uncultured bacterium. RNAcentral describes it as "partial 16S ribosomal RNA". It matches the Rfam family "Bacterial small subunit ribosomal RNA", at positions 28 to 507 of the family's 1533-position model. The record is from RNAcentral.